AGCAGGGUGCUUUGCGCCUCAGAACAGCAAGCCUCCUUAGCCGGCGCCUCCGUAGGCAGGCGGACAGACCAGGUUCGUGUCUCUUGGGAGGGAUCCCCUGCUCUCGGCCCCACCAGCUUCAGGGAGGAUGGCCAGGUGUCCAGCGUUCACAGCGUUUCUGCUUUGGCAUCUGCGUCUGGAAGCCACGGCUCAGGGAGCCUCCGGUGCAGAGAGACUGUGCCAGUGCGGGUUCUCCAGCUCAGAAGGACCCGGUUCGGCGCUUCAUCGGGACGCAGGUUUGAAAACCAACAUCAGCUCUUGCAUAGAGCGACUUGCAAGCUCCUCAUCACUGGACUCCAUCAUGGUUCUGUACAAAUAUGAAUCUUAACAAGAUUCUGGAAGCGUUUGUGACUGUUUCCUUGCUGUCUGGUCUUGCCAGGUGUAUUUUUUUUUUUUAAUUGCACGAGAGGAGGAACUGGUUAUCUAUGGCUCUGCUUCUUCCCACAAGACGUUAUCUCCCCUGCUGCGGCUUUUUAGUGAGCGUUGCACAGGUGAUGGUGGGAUGAGACUGAACAGAUAAACAUCUUUUAGAGGCAGGUGCAUAUGGAGGGUCCCAGGCCGGGGCUCUCAUGGGAGCUGCAUCUGAGACUUACGCCACAGCCACAGCAACGCCCGAUCCUGAACCCACUGAGUGAGGCCAGGGAUUGAAUGUGCAUCCUCAUAGACCUUAUAUCUCGUUCUUAACGUGCUGCGCCACGAUGGGAACUCCCACACCUAAUUUUUGAUGCAUCCUACAUCCAGCCAGAGGGGCAUGUCAUGAUGUUCAGUCCUUGUCAUACAAAUCAAGUCACUGGAUCCUUUUUUGUGUCUUAAUUCACCCUCUUUUGAUCUGAUGUUUAGGAAUUCUCUUUGAGACCUUGCUCAAGCUGAUCACCAACCACUGCCACAUUUCGAAUGCGUUUGGCACAUCCAACCGUGCCAUGCAUGGAAUAUUUUGAGUGCCGGCUCUAAUUCUUUAGUGUGUUUAAUAUGCAUCCUCCAAUGUCAGUCCCUUCCUGUUAAACAUUACCAACUAUAUUGUGGUCAUAGCUCUUAUGUUAAAAAAAGUGAGCAUUUGUGGAGGAACUCUUUUUACUGUGUUUCCACGGCAGUGAGCAAAGCAACCACGGGGCCCCAGAUUAAUUGUUUUUAGAGCCACACCCACGGCAUAUGGACGUUCCCAGGCUAGGGGUUGAAUUGGAGCUAUAUCAUGUUGUAACCCAAGAGAGUGGACUCAGGUCCUGCAUUGCUGUGGUUCUUGGGUUAUAACAUCAUGGAAGAAAGUAUGAAAAAAAUAAGAAUGUAUAUAUGUAUGUGUGUGUGUGUGUGAGAAGACAGACUGGGGCACUCUGCUGU
Molecule: non-coding RNA, 1374 nt
Organism: Sus scrofa (pig)
Lineage: Eukaryota; Metazoa; Chordata; Mammalia; Artiodactyla; Suidae
Source: RefSeq, a predicted model, not a curated record